UACGGAAGGUCCGGGCGUUAUCCGGAUUUAUUGGGUUUAAAGGGAGCGCAGGCCGAAGGUUAAGCGUGGCGUGAAAUGUAGCCGCUCAACGGCUGAACUGCGUCGCGAACUGGCUUUCCUGAGUGAGUACGACGUCAGCGGAAUUCGAGGUGUAGCGGUGAAAUGCUUAGAUAUCACGAAGAACCCCGAUUGCGAAGGCAGCUGACGAGUCCUUUACUGACGCUAAAGCUCGAAGGUGCGGGUAUCGAAC
RNAcentral lists this ribosomal RNA (250 nucleotides) under uncultured prokaryote. Its description in RNAcentral is "partial 16S ribosomal RNA". It matches the Rfam family "Bacterial small subunit ribosomal RNA", at positions 524 to 773 of the family's 1533-position model. The record is from RNAcentral.